Molecule: ribosomal RNA, 301 nt
Filed under: uncultured bacterium
Lineage: Bacteria
Description: partial 16S ribosomal RNA
Rfam family: Bacterial small subunit ribosomal RNA
Source: RNAcentral
CAGUCGCCACGGGAAUACGAAGGGGGCUAGCGUUGUUCGAAUUUACUGGGCGUAAAGGGCGCGUAGGCGGACUGAUAAGUCAGGGGUGAAAUCCCAAGGCUCAACCUUGGAACUGCCUUUGAUACUGUUUGUCUUGAGUUCGAGAGAGGUAAGUGGAACUGCGAGUGUAGAGGUGAAAUUCGUAGAUAUUCGCAAGAACACCAGUGGCGAAGGCGGCUUACUGGCUCGAUACUGACGCUGAGGCGCGAAAGCGUGGGGAGCAAACAGGAUUAGAUACCGAGUAGUCCCUGUCUCUUAUACA